GGGGGUGUAGCUCAGUGGUAGAGUGCAAGCUUAGCGUGCAUGAGGUCCUGGGUUCAAUCCCCAGUACUUCCU
RNAcentral lists this transfer RNA (72 nucleotides) under Camelus bactrianus (Bactrian camel). It matches the Rfam family "tRNA". From Rfam's summary of the family: Transfer RNA (tRNA) molecules are approximately 80 nucleotides in length. Lineage: Eukaryota; Metazoa; Chordata; Mammalia; Artiodactyla; Camelidae. RNAcentral also lists the same sequence under 2 other names. The record is from Rfam by way of RNAcentral.